UUUAAGUCCCUUGCCCUUUGUCCACCCCGCCCGUCGGUUAUUCCCGAAUGGAAUGGCUCAGUGAGGGCUUCCGGACUGGCCCAGGGAGGUUGGGCAACGACCCCCCCAGGGGCCCGGAAAAUUUAUCCAAAUUCGGUCAUUUAGAGGAAGUAAAAGUCGUAACAAGGUCUCCGUUUGGUGAACCAGCGGAGGGAUCAUUA
This 200-nucleotide ribosomal RNA is filed under the name Pestalotiopsis sp. SD01ES. RNAcentral's name for it is "partial 18S ribosomal RNA". It matches the Rfam family "Eukaryotic small subunit ribosomal RNA", at positions 1644 to 1831 of the family's 1831-position model. Lineage: Eukaryota; Fungi; Ascomycota; Sordariomycetes; Amphisphaeriales; Sporocadaceae. The record is from RNAcentral.